This 434-nucleotide ribosomal RNA is filed under the name Anogcodes coarctatus. RNAcentral's name for it is "partial 16S ribosomal RNA". The stretch from base 313 to 434 matches the Rfam family "Bacterial large subunit ribosomal RNA", at positions 2473 to 2600 of the family's 2925-position model. The record is from RNAcentral. Lineage: Eukaryota; Metazoa; Arthropoda; Insecta; Coleoptera; Oedemeridae.
CUGUGCAAAGGUAGCAUAAUCAUUAGUUUUUUAAUUGAAAGCUGGAAUGAAUGGUUUAAUAAGAAAAAAACUGUCUCGAUUUUAAUUUUUGAAUUUUAUAUUUAAGUUAAAAAGCUUAAAUUUUUUAAAAAGACGAGAAGACCCUAUAGAGUUUGAUAAGAAUAAUUUAAUUUUUAUUAAGAUUUAAAUUUAAAAUUAAAUUAGAUUGUUUUAUUGGGGUGAUAUAAAAAUUGAAUAAACUUUUUAUUUAUAAUAUCAUAAUUUAUGUAUAAUUGAUCUUGAUUUUUGGAUUGUAAGAUAAAUUACCUUAGGGAUAACAGCGUAAUUUUUUUUGAGAGUUCAUAUCGAAAGAAAAGUUUGCGACCUCGAUGUUGGAUUAAAAUUAAAUUUUGGCGUAGAAGUUAAAAAUUUAGGUCUGUUCGACUUAAAUUACU